AGUGGCGGACGGGUGAGUAACGCGUGAGAAUCUGCCUUGGGGUCGGGGACAACCACUGGAAACGGUGGCUAAUACCGGAUAAGCCGAUUGGUGAAAGAUUUAUUGCCCGAAGAGGAGCUCGCGUCUGAUUAGCUAGUUGGUGAGGUAAGAGCUCACCAAGGCAGCGAUCAGUAGCUGGUCUGAGAGGACGAUCAGCCACACUGGGACUGAGACACGGCCCAGACUCCUACGGGAGGCAGCAGUGGGGAAUUUUCCGCAAUGGGCGAAAGCCUGACGGAGCAAGACCGCGUGAGGGAGGAAGGCUCUUGGGUUGUAAACCUCUUUUCUCAGGGAAGAAGCUCUGACGGUACCUGAGGAAUCAGCCUCGGCUAACUCCGUGCCAGCAGCCGCGGUAAUACGGAGUAGGCAAGCGUUAUCCGGAAUUAUUGGGCGUAAAGCGUCCGCAGGUGGCGAUUCAAGUCUGCUGUCAAAGCACGGGGCUUAACUCCGUAAAGGCAGUGGAAACUGAAUAGCUAGAGUGCCGUAGGGGUAGAGGGAAUUCCCGGUGUAGCGGUGAAAUGCGUAGAGAUCGGGAAGAACAUCGGUGGCGAAAGCGCUCUACUGGACGGCAACUGACACUCAGGGACGAAAGCUAGGGGAGCGAAUGGGAUUAGAUACCCC
Molecule: ribosomal RNA, 660 nt
Filed under: uncultured bacterium
Lineage: Bacteria
Description: bacterial SSU rRNA
Rfam family: Bacterial small subunit ribosomal RNA
Source: RNAcentral